This 150-nucleotide ribosomal RNA is filed under the name uncultured eukaryote. RNAcentral describes it as "partial small subunit ribosomal RNA". It matches the Rfam family "Eukaryotic small subunit ribosomal RNA", at positions 1651 to 1800 of the family's 1831-position model. The record is from RNAcentral.
CCCUGCCAUUUGUACACACCGCCCGUCGCUACUACCGAUUGAAUGGCUUAGUGAGGCAUCGGGAGUGGCCGGCCCAGAGGGCGACCUCUCAGCUGGCUGCAAACCUUGUCAAACUUGGUCAUUUAGAGGAAGUAAAAGUCGUAACAAGGU